UGAGUAGAGCACAUGUAUAAUGCUUGAAUAACUAGUCAAUAAAAUUAUUCGCACCUAAUUGUAUAAUAUAAAUGUAUUUAAUCGAAUAGUUAAAUUGAUAAAUUAUUAAAUAAGCUCUAUCUGUUUGAAUUAAGCUCAAGAGCUUAGAGGACCAAAGUUGGAUAAGGGGAAGGAAAAAGUGAUCGAAUAGCCAUCGAAACCGUUCGACAAC
RNAcentral lists this long non-coding RNA (211 nucleotides) under Gossypium barbadense (sea-island cotton). RNAcentral's name for it is "long non-coding RNA (GBAR_LNC007071)". Lineage: Eukaryota; Viridiplantae; Streptophyta; Magnoliopsida; Malvales; Malvaceae. The record is from RNAcentral.